RNAcentral lists this ribosomal RNA (440 nucleotides) under uncultured bacterium. Its description in RNAcentral is "partial 16S ribosomal RNA". It matches the Rfam family "Bacterial small subunit ribosomal RNA", at positions 338 to 795 of the family's 1533-position model. The record is from RNAcentral.
CCUACGGGUGGCAGCAGUGGGGAAUAUUGCACAAUGGGGGAAACCCUGAUGCAGCGACGCCGCAUGAAGGAAGAAGGAUUUCGGGAUGUAAACUUCUAGCAGCAGGGAAGAAAAGGACGGUACCUGACUAAGAAGCCCCGGCGAACGACGUGCCAGCAGCCGCGGUAAUACGUAGGGGGCAAGCGUUACCCGGAUUUCCUGGGUGUAAAGGGAGCGUAGGCGGUUCAGCAAGUCAGAAGUGAAAGCCCGGGGCUCAACUCCGGGACUGCUUUUGAAACUGUUGAACUAGAUUGCAGGAGAGGUAAGUUGAAUUCCUAGUGUAGCGGUGACAUGCGUAGAUAUUAGGCGGCACCCCAGUGGCGAAGGCGGCUUACUGGACUGUAACUGACGCUGAGGCUCGAAAGCGUGGGGAGCAAACAGGAUUAGAUACCCGGGUAGUC